Molecule: long non-coding RNA, 2523 nt
Organism: Marmota flaviventris (yellow-bellied marmot)
Lineage: Eukaryota; Metazoa; Chordata; Mammalia; Rodentia; Sciuridae
Source: RefSeq, a predicted model, not a curated record
UUCACUUACUCCUUUUUUGUAGGUACCAGUUACAUUCAGGAGUGUGACUGUGAUCUGCAGGGAGCCAAAGUGGAAAACUGAGCACUAAGCAGAGGAACCUAUACAAAGAAGCGAUGCUAGAAAUCUCCAGGAAUCUGCUCUUGUUGGAGCCAAAGCCAGAAAUCUCCCCUGUUCCUCCUGCCUCUGGCUUUCUCCUGUCAGCAGUUCUUCAACAGCAUGUGCUUCAGAUCUUUCCAGAGUCAUGUGCAGAAGGUCUCUUCCCUCCAGGAGAUUCCAGCCCAGGAUGUUAGAAGCAGCAGAAGUAACAGCCAUGUUAUUAGAAUGAAAGCCCAGAAGUUAAGAGGGAGAAGGUAGCUUCAAACUCUUGUGUGGGAGGAUGGUGAAGAGAGAGACCUUGAGCACAUCACCCAGUACAUUCCAAGGACAGUCAGCAAAUCCUAGAGAAGUUAAUGCGGUGGUAGAAUUAGAGCCCUACUCAGCCCAAAGGGUUAACCUUGUACAAUUGGAAAAAGGAUUGGAGCAGUUAGAAACCUUGAGAUUUGGAGCAGUCAGCUGUAGAGAGUGUGAGCCAGACUGUAACCCCAUGCCAAACUUCAUUACAAACGCCAGGACCCUCUUGGGCAAGUCCUGUGUUUGCAGUGAUGGUGGGUGAGGCUUUACAGACAUCAUCGGAACGCCACUGGACACACUUGCCAUAUGUGUGCAGAGAGUGGGCGGAGUCUUUAGCCAAAAGCUCAGCCUCGACAGAGCCCAGAGAGCACAUUGAGAAGAGGAACCUCUCUUGUACAGGGAGUGGGGCAAAGCUUUAGAAAUAAGUCUAUCAGUAGACAUCAGAAGACUUGCUCAGGGGAGAAAUUCUGCAUUUACAGCAAGCGUGGGGAAGGCUUUGGCCAGAUGCCAUCUUUCUUCAGACACCAGAGGACACACUCAGGUGAGAAACCCUCCAUGCCCCUGCAAUGUGGACGAGGCUUUGGGGGGUAAGGGGACCCUCAGAAACCACCAGAGCACACACUCAGGGGAGAAGCCUCUGUUUGCAGGGAGUGUGGGUGAGGCGUUUGCUGCAAAUCAACCCUCUUCCAACACGAGAGAAUACACCCAGGAGAGAAGCCUUUGUGUGCACUGAAUGUGGGGAAGGUUUUAGCCACAACUUCUUGUCCACUGGAAGACACACUCAGGGAGAAGCAUUAUGUUUGUGGGGAGUGUGGGCAAGGCUUUAGCCAGAAAUCAAAUCUCAUCAGACACUAGAAGACACACUGAGGGGAAUCUUGUGUGUCUGGGCAAGAAUUCUGGGCAAGACAUGAGCCUUCAGUCAAACUUCAUCUUAUACCAGAGAGACACAUAGGAAAUGGUCCCCACGUGUGUGUGGAGUAUGAGUGAUGUUUCAGAGAUGCCUUACCCUUCUUAGACAUGAGAGGACACGUGGAGGAGAGGAACAUCAUGAGGGUACAGCAUGGAUAACUCUGUAGCCACAGGUCAGCCUCACCAUGCACAAGAGGACACACUUAGGGGGAAAGGUUUGUGUGUGCAGGGACUGUGGGCGGGGGGAGCAUUAGCAGUAAGUCCAGACUUGGGAACAUCCAGUGACAGCCCUGAGGAAUAAGUGUCACAUGUUCAGGGUGUUGGUGAGCAUCCGCAAAAGAGUGAAAGUCACCACAAGAGGGCCUUUUAUGGUCAUAUGCCACAGGGAGAAUCUAUGAGUGGGGAUGCUGUGGACCCUGCCCAGGUGACCUUUUCAAGGCCAACACCCCAGCUGCUUGAGAGAAAAAAGCUGCUGCUUGCAGAGAUGGGUUCAACUCUAGCACCAGCUCUUAGCCACAGCGAGCUACAGAAUCAGGGGCUCUGCCCUUUCUCAAGAGGGGCUCUUGGCCAGUGACCUAUGGAUACCAGUAGUUAAAACUCCACCCCUGUUCCCAAGGAUCAUUCCAGAUCCAGAAAUCCCCCCUAGACUGAAUGAUCUCUCAGUUGCAAAUAUGUUGCAGGUCAACCUCUUCCUCUGCCCAGUCCUGCCCUCACUCCAUGGUGGACCCUGAUUCUCCAUCUCUGUCUCCAGGGAACCUAAUCUAUCACCUUAGGUGUGAAAGGUGUGGAUGAGGCUUUGGCUGCGUCAUCCCUCAGCAAACACCAGGGUAUACAGAGAAGCAGCGCUGGGUGUCCUGAGGGCAGAAGGGAACUGGCAAGGACUUAUGAAACAGGCACACUUCCCAGGAAAACAACUUUUUGGUAGAAGCAGUUUUCCCCUGAUUUUCUUCUUGAGCUGACAAGAGAGCAGAGUCUUGCCACCCUAAAUCACUGCCUUGCCCAUUCAGCAGAAGUCUUAACCCAACGGUAGGUACUCUUUUUUUUUUUGGUGGUACUAGGGAUUGAAUUCAGGGACUGUGCAUGCGAGGCAAGCAAUCUACCAACUGAACUAUAUCCCCAGUCCCAACCCUCUGAAUGAGAGUAAAGAAGGCAAUAACAAUUACGUAGACAUUUUUCUACUUUUGUAAUCAGAUGGAAUAAAAAAAGUAGGCAUUAUUUAAGUCA